GCGGGUGUAGCUCAAUGGUAGAGCGCCACGUUCCCAACGUGGUGACGGGGGUUCGAUUCCCCUCACCCGCUCCA
This 74-nucleotide transfer RNA is filed under the name Nannocystis sp. RNAcentral's name for it is "tRNA-Gly". It matches the Rfam family "tRNA". From Rfam's summary of the family: Transfer RNA (tRNA) molecules are approximately 80 nucleotides in length. Their secondary structure includes four short double-helical elements and three loops (D, anti-codon, and T loops). Lineage: Bacteria; Pseudomonadati; Myxococcota; Nannocystales; Nannocystaceae. RNAcentral also lists the same sequence under 1 other name. The record is from RNAcentral.